GACACGCCUGGGCUCCUUUGGACUCUGCAGGAGGACAACCCACCAGUGAGACCAGGGUCAUAAGCCUCCCGGCACAUCCUGGUCCAAGCAUGCAGACUUGUCCCAGAAAUCCCACAAGAUGUGGAAGUACACCCAGGGUGCACUACCACCACCUACAGGACUGCUGGGGAACUGCAGCUUAAACCUUUUUUGUAACCCACGUGCUCUGAAAUUUGUGGCCCCGCUGAGGUCUUGGAUCCAAGCGGUGGACUUGUAGGUCCUGGUCAUGCUAGCUGGACAAGGUGGACGUGGCCUGCUGACGAGGUGGAUCCAGGUAGGAUGAGCUCCUAAGUGGAUCACACCCCAGAUUACAGCGGGAAGGUGGAAGCACCUCGCAUGACGUCCAUGGACAAACAAAGACCAGUGACGGAAAUAGAAAGAGGAAAGAUUGUCAAACAUCAAGUGUGUUUAUUUAUAAAAAUCAAAAUGUUCUACUUGCAAGUGAGGGAGAUAGAAAACAGUGAAAGAAAACACCUGAUAAAGGGGGCGUGGCCUGGUGAGACAGGAAGUGAGAAGUGAUCAAAAAUGGAAGCGUUCACCGUGUCCGAAGUGUGCUUGGAUCCCGCCACCU
Entelurus aequoreus (snake pipefish) is the source of this 610-nucleotide long non-coding RNA. RefSeq lists it as uncharacterized. The record is from RefSeq and is a predicted model, not a curated record. The transcript is spliced from 3 exons. NCBI's taxonomy places the organism in Eukaryota, Metazoa, Chordata, Actinopteri, Syngnathiformes, Syngnathidae.